ACACUCAGUCAGUGCUCAGUUUGAGCCAAUCUUGCUAAGUACUGGUGUGCAAGGCUCAGCUGGUAAACGCUGGUAACCCUGGGUACAUCUUGAUGGUGCAUCAAGAACAAACUCUUCAACCACUGCAUCGUCCAGACACAGGACAGCAGCCAACACUUCAAUAAUGUACCGGGAUUCCUGAAGGGACGGCACGCUACUAGUAGAGCAUCUCGUGAGGUCCACAGUGGGCUCUAUCGAGCUACUCAUCUGCAGAAAAAGUGCAAUAAUUCUUUAACACUGACUGAACUGAUGCCUCCAUUUGAUGAUACAAAUUAGAAUCGAGAAAUGACAACCAUCCUGCUAUUAACUGCUUACUAGCAUUACAAAAUUAUUUUUUUCCCAGAAAGUAGAAACUGUGGCUUUCUAUUAUGUGUCUGUCUUUUUUUUUAACUACUGUGGUUACUGACAUACUUCUAAUAGUCUAUACUAGUCAUACUUCUAAUAGUGGGUCCAACUUUGAAGGAAUGUGAGUGGAGAUUAUUGACCAGACUCAUUGUGAGUGUGUGUUUUUAAUUACUAUAUUAUAUGCAUAUGCCAUGCUUAGCAAGCGUUUAUUAUUCGUUUCAUCCAACGUUUUUGCGGCAGCAAGGAAUUGACAAAGGAAACUUGAUAUUUAGGAAUAGCAAAUAGAUAGGAAUAGAUAUUCUUAUAACAACCAUAUAUACAGGAAUAUUCCGAUAAUAUGCCUGCACGCUUAUAAACAUCGUAUUCGGAAUAUGGCUGCAAGCUGAAUAUAGACAUUAAACGGAAUUUGAUGUGCAUGUAAACGUAGCCAGUGAUACACAAAUAAAUAAGUCAUUUCCUGUCAGGAUUUUUAUCUGCUCAGUCUGUCAGGAUGUGGGGUUUCCACAAACACACACUUUUUUUUUUCUUUUCAAAUUUGCUAUCCUUGAAAAGAAUCACCUAUUAAUAAAAUCUAGUUAAUAUUUACACCACUUAGGUUACUGAAAUUGGGUAAAUAUGAGGUUAGUCAGAAUUAAAUGAAAGCUUUAGCUAACGCUCAAGUUAACCAUGUUAGCUAAUGCUGGCUAAUACCACAGCUACUCACCUGACAGCUGACCUACUCUAGCAAAUAUUUAAGAAUUGUAUAGGUUUUCAUAAUUCGUUUAAUUCGAGCAUUCGGGUAGUAUUUCAGCUUUCUUUUUUUACUUUAGUGCAAACAUUAUUACAUGAACUGAAAUUACUUACGGUAAUAAGGUCGCUC
Pangasianodon hypophthalmus (striped catfish) is the source of this 1243-nucleotide long non-coding RNA. RefSeq lists it as uncharacterized. The transcript is spliced from 3 exons. The record is from RefSeq and is a predicted model, not a curated record. Lineage: Eukaryota; Metazoa; Chordata; Actinopteri; Siluriformes; Pangasiidae.